This 393-nucleotide ribosomal RNA is filed under the name uncultured microorganism. RNAcentral describes it as "bacterial SSU rRNA". It matches the Rfam family "Archaeal small subunit ribosomal RNA", at positions 330 to 731 of the family's 1478-position model. The record is from RNAcentral.
GCGCAGCAGGCGCGAAACUUUACAAUGUGCGAAGCACGAUAAGGGAACUCUGAGUGCCUCCUAAGGAGGCUGUUCAGGUGUCUAAAAGCACCUGGAGUAAGGGCUGGGUAAGACCGGUGCCAGCCGCCGCGGUAACACCGGCAGCCCAGGUGGUAGCCACUUUUAUUGGGUCUAAAGCGUCCGUAGCCGGUUGAGUAAGUUCCUUGGGAAAUUUGGCUGCUCAACAGUCAAGCUUCCAGGGAAUACUGCUCGACUUGGGACUGGGAGAGGUCAGAGGUACUCCAGGGGUAGGGGUGAAAUCCAUUAAUCCCUGGGGGACCACCGGUAGCGAAGGCGUCUGACCAGACCAGGUCCGACGGUGAGGGACGAAGGCUAGGGUCGCGAACCGGAUUA